CCUACGGGAGGCAGCAGUGAGGAAUAUUGGUCCAUGGGCGAGAGCCUGAACCAGCCAAGUCGCGUGAAGGAUGAAGGAUCUAUGGUUUGUAAACUUCUUUUAUAUGGGAAUAAAGUGAGGAACGUGUUCCUUUUUGUAUGUACCAUAUGAAUAAGCAUCGGCUAACUCCGUGCCAGCAGCCGCGGUAAUACGGAGGAUGCGAGCGUUAUCCGGAUUUAUUUGGUUUAAAGGGUGCGUAGGUGGUUAAUUCAGUCAGCGGUACAAGCCCGGGGCUCAACCCCGGCGAGCCGUUGAAACUGGCUGUCUUGAGAGGUGGAGAGGUAUGCGGAAUGCGGAGUGUAGCGGUGAAAUGCUUAGAUAUUGCGCAGAACUCAGAUUGCGAAGGCAGCAUACCGGCGGCGAUCUGACGCUGAGGCACGAAAGCGUGGGUAUCGAACAGGAUUAGAUACCCGAGUAGUC
RNAcentral lists this ribosomal RNA (459 nucleotides) under uncultured bacterium. RNAcentral's name for it is "partial 16S ribosomal RNA". It matches the Rfam family "Bacterial small subunit ribosomal RNA", at positions 338 to 795 of the family's 1533-position model. The record is from RNAcentral.